GAGGAAGGAUCUCUCUGGAGAUCACUCGUCUUGGAGACCUUUUGGUGAGCCCAGGUUAUGGACAUCUGUCUGGACAAUAAUCCAAGGAUUGAGGAAAGCCAUUGAUGCUCACCACCACUGUGGAACAUCAUAGCAUCUGCAGACUAUAGCUGGUACUCAUCAGAAGGAAAAAAAGAAGGAAGGACACAAAUUGUCUAAUAAGUUUACUACUAUGUGCAGGAGAACCAGUGCAACACAAAAAAAAACAGGUAUUUAUAGACAUUGAUCAGAUCCCCCUCUGAGCCUUCUCAUAUCUAGGAUGUUCAGUUCUGGCGCUCUCAACCUCUCCUCACAGAAGAGCUACACCAGACCCUUCAUUUUACUUGCUCUUUGCUGGAGUCUCAGUACCUCCAGGCCUCCUGGGGAGCCCAGUGUUUAACAGAGAAGGAUGACCACUCAUGCUGCUGGCAACCCUUGGCCUAAUACAGCUAAGAAUGCCAUUAACUUUUUUUCUUUCAGCCAUGAAUAUUGUUAUGCAUAUAAACUAUUUUUGAAAGAGUCUUUUUGGAAAAUGUCUUCAUGCUUCAGGACACAGGUCAAACUCUUAACAAAUGAGACUUAUAAACUUUUCUCCUCUACCAGUUAUGCUAGAUGACUUUAUUUCUGGGUUUUUGCACUUUAUGCUUUUCUGAUGUGGUGCUUCCAGUCCGUUUGUCAUUAGAACACCGUUAACUAUUCUGAUGGCCACAGUACAUCUUUGUGAUGAAAGAAAUGUCUAUAGAGGUUUAUCUGAGUUUCUGAAUAUCUGACAAGACUAGGGAUCAAUAUGAAUUUGUUAUCUUACUAUGAAGACCUCAAAACUGUGUGAAUGGGAAAGCCAUAGUACGAUGACUGAAUGCCAUUUACAAUAUUCUAUUUUCUAGUCUUUUUCUCUGGACAGAAACAAAACAAAAUCAAACCUAAUCAAAACCUAACGUAGUGAACUAGAAGCAAUCACUUGUCCACUGCAUGCAGCACACUAGCUAAAGAAAGCAAAUCAUGAUCUCUAAAUUAGUGUUGACCUAUGCCAGUUGGUCUAGAGUACACAGUGAAAGGGCACAAACAAAUAGCAGAUGUGAUGUGGAAGCAGGAAAAUUGUUGCUGUAUGAGCUCCAGUGUGGCACCAUGUGGUCACGGGAAUGUUGCUUUUGAACCAUCAUCAUUCCUUUAGGGCUAACAUAUAGUGAACAAUUUUGAUAUGUCUUUCAGCCACAGUGUAUGCUAUAAGAAAUAAAAAUGAUAUGUGGGGAGCAGUGAACCCUCCACUGUCUAGUGACUGUAUUAUUUCAGCUGGAUGACUGAGGCUAACACUGGUUAAAGAGACAUAAGUGUUCUUUUCAUUUUUGUUUCUUCAUGAAGGAGAGGAAAGCUUUAUUCAUUAACUGAUUUAGAGACUUGAGAUCAUGAAUGUCCAAAACCAAUCUCACCUAAUAAUGGCAUUGUCUUUUAGAAGAGAACUAUCCACAGAGCUUUCACGCAUGUUUAAAUGCAGACAGUGUGUAUGACAGUAACAUAUCUUGAGUAGCUCUUCCAAAUUCCAAUUCAGUGUGCAAGACAGUAUCUGUUGCCUCCUAGGAGGGCCUGUGUCUUCACACAAGUUUAAGGGCAUUUGGAAGGCGCUCAGAUAAUGCGAUGAUACUUAAAUAGAUAGACAUAGUGUAUUUCAGCCAGUAAAUGACAGUAGAGAUUUAAGUAUUCAGAAUGUAAUUAUCAGAGCUGGAAUUUGGCCAGGACAUUAACUGA
Molecule: long non-coding RNA, 1761 nt
Organism: Gallus gallus (chicken)
Lineage: Eukaryota; Metazoa; Chordata; Aves; Galliformes; Phasianidae
Source: Ensembl